RNAcentral lists this long non-coding RNA (363 nucleotides) under Nicotiana tabacum (common tobacco). RNAcentral's name for it is "long non-coding RNA (NTAB_LNC011010)". The record is from RNAcentral. Lineage: Eukaryota; Viridiplantae; Streptophyta; Magnoliopsida; Solanales; Solanaceae.
GCUUGAAAGUCUUAAUCAAAACACAACAAAAAACUCUGAAGGUUGAAAAGCCUUAUAGGAACAAGACAGAAGGCGUAAACUCACGCAAGCCUCAUACAAAAAAGAGAAACAAAAUGAGAAACAGAGGCAGCAAGACUAUCUACGCAGGCAACAAAAAUUUUAGGGUUCUUCACAAAUCACUAAUUCUUGAACUCAGGUAUAUAAAAUUCCCUAUUGUCAAUUAUCCUAAAGUAGUAGUAGGUAAGAAUUGAAUAGUUAAUUACCUUCUUCCUCUGUAUCAACAGUAAGUUCCAUGUUUAGGUUAAAAAUUUGAAAUUAAUUCAAAUGCACUGGUUGUUGUAGAAUCAAUUAUUUGACGGGUAU